GACAGAGGUCCCGAGCGUUAGGCGGAAUCACUGGGCUUAAAGCGUGUGUAGGCGGGUCGUUAAGUGCCUUGUGAAAUCCCACGGCUCAACCGUGGAACUGCUGGGCAUACUGCGGGUCUUGGGCCAACUAGGGGCAGCCGGAACAAGCGGUGGAGCGGUGAAAUGCGUAGAUAUCGCUUGGAACGCCGAAGGUGAAAACAGGCUGCUGGGGUUGCGCCGACGCUGAGACACGAAAGCCAGGGGAGCAAACGGG
Molecule: ribosomal RNA, 253 nt
Filed under: uncultured bacterium
Lineage: Bacteria
Description: partial 16S ribosomal RNA
Rfam family: Bacterial small subunit ribosomal RNA
Source: RNAcentral